UCGGCCAUCGAUUGGAAUGUUCGAGUUGUUUGCGCGCGUCAAAGAAGAUAUCUCCAUAGACCUAAAUCCGGUGAACUUUUCGAGCCGUGAUUGGGCCACGUCGCCUCGUUUUUGCAGCCGUUGGAUUUUGAUCGGACCGUCCAAAAGCGGGCACGAGGCAUCUGUGUUUCUAGACCAUUCGUCUCGAGCGUGUAGACUCCUCCCGCCGCCGCCGCCGCCUCCUCCCUCUGCUCGUCACCGCCUGCCCCAACGCCUCCGGGGCCGUCGAGGCGCAAGAGAAGCUCCCCCCACUCCACUUCACCGGCAGCUGAGCCCAAGGCAGAGCGCGUCGCGUUCGGCCGAGUCCCUCAAGUAGGAGACCGCCGACGCCGAUGACGACGGCGGAUGACGAUGACGACAGCUCCGACGCGCCACAAGCCACGGCGGCGGCGGCGGCGUCUGGAAUCCAGCGAAGCUACGGUGGCGGCGCCGAGUCUCCAUAGCAAGGCGGACGACGAGAUCUCCGGCGUUCUCCCCCGCCUGCUGUGCUACGCGUCUCUCCUACCGUUGGCUGCUGCCCUGCGCCGUCUACGCACCUCCCUCCUCCCCCGCUCCCGAUUUCCAAACCCCCCGUCUAUCUCCGCCUGAUCUGGCAACCGGAGGUCGUGGAGAGCCCACGAUGCGCUGGAUCGAGGAGCCCCAACGGCGGGGUGGAGGCGGCCGGUGGCCGCGCGGGCGUUGUGGCGGCGGGGGAGGGCGUCGCUGGCUGGGGGCGUGCGAACGGCGAGGCGACGGUGGGUGACGGCUGCACGGGCAGCGAAGCGGUCUUCACCUUGGCGAUGCCGCCGCUUACACCCGCGGCCGUCGCAACUGCCAGAUCCCAGCAACCCAGCAGCGCCCUGCUCGUCGCAAUUUCGCAGAAGCACGCCUCCGUCACCAACAGUGGCAUCAACAACAGCGGCAGCGGCAGCAGGGUUCUUGCACUGGCAGGCUGGCAGCAGCACCGUGGUGUCCUCUGCAGUCCACACCGUGCUCACCCUGCCAGCUCUAGCAGCAGCUGCUCCUUCCUGGAAUGGUGCUGUUCUGCCUACAAGGUGCUCGAUCAAAUGCCAGGCGUUGGUGUCUUUGUUAGGCGUGGUUGAGCUGAGCGCCUGAGCGGUGGGAGGAGUCAGUGUGCUGCGGCAGUUAGUGGGGGGUGCACAUGGCGAGGCCGCGCGGUGGCGGCUCCGUGGCGUGGGCGGAGGCCAAGACACCAGCGGGGAGGGUGCACCAGCACCUCAAGCGGCUCAACAAGCUGGCCAUCAGGAACAUCGAGAUAGAUACAUCAUCGACUGCGUGCAUAUCUCCCACCAACCAGCGACCAUCCUCUCCUCAAGAAUCACACAAUACAGUUUAGGCCGGCCUACCACCCUGAAGGUCUAUAUGAUGAUGCCAAGAGCAGUAUAUAUAGGCUCCAACAAUGCAGGCGAAAAGUCGAUGCCGUCACGCAGGGAUGCGCUGAUGGAGGUCGCGGGAGGCCAUUGUGCUGCUCCACCUCCUUGGCCGCCCCAGCCUCUCCAUCAGUGUGGCCACGACCCAUGGAGCCACGCGAGCUGCAGAUCAAUGCGACGGCGGCACCAAGUAAGAGCUCCUACAGUGCAGUGAUGGGGUGAGCUUGACAAGCAGCUCGCACAGCUGCAAGUCAACAUGGUGGAGCGAGCAGCAGCUCCAGCCACAGGUUCGCAUGCCUGCACCAUCCCUCCAGUGGCCAUAGCCGACGUUGCCUCCGGUGCCGGCAAGGUGUUUGACAAAAUGCCAACCUCCCAGGCGUAUAGCAACUUUAAUUUAUGAAGUGAGAAUAAUAUUGGAGCUUACAAUUAGUAGAUGAUAACUUAUAACAAAUUGAUUGUUUCAAGUGUUUACUCUUGUGGAUAAUGGAAAACCAAUCGGAAAAAAGUGCAAGAGGAGCAAGAAGACCUCUUUGUAUCAAAACAAGGAAGCAAACAGGAAAAAAAGAAAAGGAUCAAGAGCAACAAAGGUCCACAUAUAGUGUACAACUCGAAUCUUCAAAGGCUGUCCUCUUGCAUUGAUUCCAUCGAAGGAUUCUCAUGAUUUUCUAUGAAGCAACCUCUUCGAUUGUGCAAUUUUAUUUAUGUGAGCAGGGAUGAAAGAUUAGAAAUGAAUCUAUCAAAAAGUGGUAUGUUAAGUACUAUAUCUAUAUCUGAAACUCUUGUAUACUCCAACCGUUGAAUUGGCAACCGCAUAUCCACUGGAAGAUUGUAAGUAUAUAAAUAAGCAUAAUAUCGCUUGUACCUUCUUCCAUCAGAAGGUGGC
Long non-coding RNA from Setaria italica (foxtail millet), 2292 nucleotides. RefSeq lists it as uncharacterized. The transcript is spliced from 5 exons. NCBI's taxonomy places the organism in Eukaryota, Viridiplantae, Streptophyta, Magnoliopsida, Poales, Poaceae. The record is from RefSeq and is a predicted model, not a curated record.